Pelobates cultripes (western spadefoot toad) is the source of this 323-nucleotide non-coding RNA. The record is from the annotation of a GenBank genome assembly. Lineage: Eukaryota; Metazoa; Chordata; Amphibia; Anura; Pelobatidae.
GGACAGUGUCGACAGUCAGGUAUACUAAUCACCAGGAUGGAACUAAAUCCCAUUUUCUAUCAGACAUCAUGAAAGGCAUCUUCGAUUCCUGACUUCCUCGCAGAACCCCGAAGGUCGGCCUAUCUCCCAAGGGAGACACAUAUCACAGGGACCGCCAGAAUGCGGUGUUAUUCAAUUGGCACAUUGCAUGAGGGUGCACAAUGUUGAUCGCACUCCAGCUACCUGGGCCUCCUCCGGGGACGUAUGCUUUUCCCUCCAUUGCGAUGAUUGCGAAACUUCUCCAUCAUCUCCUUGUUCAGUGAAUAAUACUGCCUUGGCCGCCC